This is a long non-coding RNA of Lolium perenne, 1569 nucleotides long. RefSeq lists it as uncharacterized. The record is from RefSeq and is a predicted model, not a curated record. NCBI's taxonomy places the organism in Eukaryota, Viridiplantae, Streptophyta, Magnoliopsida, Poales, Poaceae.
AUAGUAGUUACUACUUAGUAGAUUCUACUCCAUCCCAGUUCUCCCAUCGUUGAAGUGCAGCCAUCCCCUUCCUCACCGCGUCGGCGCCUCCUCUACUCUUCAACUGCCCCCUCCGUCUCGCUACUUCCCUUCUCCCCCUUCCCCCCUCUAUCUCUCUCAGUUUCUAUUUCUCUGCAGGCACCCCCGAAUCGAUGGAGAAGCUUCACCGGAGGAUAGACGGAACUGAAUGGAGGUGGAGCCCUGCACACAUCCGACGUCUCCGACCUCGUCUACAUCGGAUUGGACGACAUAGUGUCCUGACCGGCAAUCGGAGAGGUGCUGAGGCUCGUGAAGAUCGUGAAUGCCCACUUCCCCAUUAAUGUCUCCGUGACAUUGGGUAAUUUGCUUGACCCAAAGGAUCAAUCACGGAUUUGGAUCUAGCAACUCUGGACAUUCAACCUCGCCUCUCGUAUUACUGUGUAUCACCAUUCUGGUUCAAUUAGCUGCUAACUUGCUUCCCAUUUACCAGGCUCAGGAGAUUAGCAAACUUCAGUUGCUUAAAAGGCAUGAUGGCGGAUGAUCAGUGUGCCCAGACUUUCCUACAUCGUCCAAUAUACUAGAGACGAAGUCUAACAAGAAAUCAAGGACCUCGUGAGUACUAUUUAGGCAGUCGGCCUCAUCAAUUAGUCAUGCCAAUGAGAUAUCAAGCCCUCGAUUCCAACGGGGCUACGAACAAAGAAGGUCCUUUCAAGAUUAUAUUUCCCCUUGGGUCUAUCAAGCUGAACAGUUCGUGGGGAUAUAAGAAGAUCACACUUAGACAACUGUCUACACUACCUCUUUAAUGAUCCGGAUUCCAUGACGCGUAAUUCAUCUGUCCAUAUAUAUUACUAAUUUCAUAUUCAUCACCACGGGCAAGGAGAAGUCGUCGUGUUAUCCUUCAUACCCUUGAAAGAACCAUAGAGGGCAUCGCUUCCUACCAGGCAGAUGCCUUUCAUUCAUCCAAAAUUGCAGCACAAGAGCUCGAUGAUGAAGCCUGAAGAAAACCUGCACCUAGCGAAGUGUUCAAGAUCAUUGGAUCUAGAUAUAUUGAUAACUAGCCAGAUUUGAAUAUUUACUUGUAUUUUGAUAGUUGUGCACCUGAUCUGUAUUGUGGAUUCCUGUAAUGUACCUUUGCUGUUAUAUGAGAUAGUUGUGCACCUGGCCAGGGAUGCGGAGUUCCUGGUUGACGCGGAGCAGGAAGCAGAGGAGGAGCGGGCGGCCAACGCGGCGUUCGAUGCCGAGAUGGAAUGACGCAGGGAGGUGGCCACUGCAGAGGACGACUCCUCCGACAUCUCAUGGUCAUCUGAUAACCCAGAUGUGCCUACCCCAGAGGAGAAGGCGGCGGAGCAGAGGGUGUUAGUGUUAGUGGACUCCUUCGAGACGCUCGAGAAGGCUGAUGAUGCCGUGAACGAGACGCUGCAGUGGUGCUUGAUAGCGGACGCGGCGAUGCACCAAGCUCUAGCGAUCGCACGGUUGGCGGCGGAGAAGCAAAUAAGGGAGGUACGCAACGAUGGGGCCGGGCCGUCGGGCAACAAGUAGCCUAUGGUUUGU